Ruditapes philippinarum (Manila clam) is the source of this 296-nucleotide long non-coding RNA. RefSeq lists it as uncharacterized. The record is from RefSeq and is a predicted model, not a curated record. The transcript is spliced from 2 exons. NCBI's taxonomy places the organism in Eukaryota, Metazoa, Mollusca, Bivalvia, Venerida, Veneridae.
AUUUCAAGUUUCAAUGACUAGUAUUGUGUUUCAGUUAUUUAGUAAAAUUGAAUUUAGUGGCGUUAACCCUUGCUUUUUUGAGAGAGCACCUGUCGGAUGCGAACAUGUGGUUUUUGGAGCUAGGCGGUGAAUCAGCUCUUCAAUUUAAAGGGUAUGCAGAAGACUUAAAAUAGUGAAAAAAGUGUGUGAUUACAGACUUGUGUGUGAGGUUUUGAUUGUGGCGCAGUCAGUUGUUUGCCGAGAAGCCUUGAAAACUGUGUAUUGCCCCCUUAAGAGCAAAAUUUGAUUUUUUGUAA